Molecule: RNA transcript, 12420 nt
Organism: Hevea brasiliensis (rubber tree)
Lineage: Eukaryota; Viridiplantae; Streptophyta; Magnoliopsida; Malpighiales; Euphorbiaceae
Exons: 8
Source: RefSeq, a predicted model, not a curated record
AUCUUCCGUCAAGAAAAGAAUAAGAGGCCAAAACGCAGGAUGUUGGAAUUUCACUUCAUUGCCCUCCAUAUAAAAGCAACCCGCUCCCACUUUUCUUCCUCUUCUGCAAUCCUCAGCUUUCUUUGUGUCUCCAGUACUCUCCUCUCUCUUAGGUUGGAUAGCAUUAAUGCUUACUGCGAGUUGAAGCCAGACUCUAUUGCACCAUGGGUUUUGAUAAUGAGUGCAUACUGAACAUUCAAUCUCUGGCUGGAGAAUAUUUCUGUCCUGUUUGCCGUCUGCUAGUCUAUCCAAAUGAAGCAUUACAGUCCUUGUGUACCCACCUAUACUGUAAGCCAUGUUUAACAUAUAUUGUGAGCACUACCAGGGCUUGCCCCUAUGAUGGCUACUUGGUGACAGAAGCAGAUUCCAAGCCUCUUAUUGAAUCAAACAAAGCUCUAGCUGAAACCAUUGGCAAGAUAACAGUUCAUUGUCUAUACCAUAGAAGUGGAUGCACUUGGCAGGGUCCUUUAUCUGAGUGUACUUCUCAUUGUUCUGGAUGUGCCUUUGGUAAUUCUCCUGUUGUAUGUAACCGGUGUGGUAUUCAAAUUGUGCAUCGUCAAGUGCAGGAACAUGCACAAAAUUGUCCUGGUGUGCAGUCUCAAGCUCAGUCGGAUGCUGCCCAGGAUGCUACAGCCACAGGGACAACACCUGUUAGCACCCAGGUUGCUGCUCAGGCAGGAACUACUACCACUCAGGAUCAGACAUCUCAAACCACAGCAACCCCAUUACCUGUACAAGAUCCCAACCAGCAAGCCAACCAAACUUCACAGCCCCAGUCUGUAGUGCAGGCUACUGUGCCCACAGCAGAACAGUGGUAUCAACAGCAGCAACAAUAUCAACAGUACUACCAACAAUAUCCUGGAUAUGAUCCUUAUCAACAGCAUUAUCAGCAAUACUACCCUUAUCAACAGCAAGCAGUUCCGCAAUAUCCACAACCUCAGGUUUAUCUGCAGCCUCAGUUCCCUCAACAGCAAGUUCAACCUCAGACUCAGCUGCAAACACAAUCUCUGUCAAAUCCACAUGUUCAGGCGCCUGCUGCUGCUGCUGCUCAGCCCCAGAACCAGCCACAAGUCAAUCUGCAGCAACAAACUCACACUGUUCAGCCACAGUCUCAAAUACAAUCACAGAUUAACCCACCACCCCAUGGCCAACCACAAUCUCAGGCUCAGCAGCACCCACAAACCCACCCUGUUCAGCAUCAUCUUCAACAUGUACAAAUGCCUCAAAAUCCGCGGCCUCAUUCGCAGAUUCAGCAUCCGCAACCCCAAGUUCAGGCACUGGCUCAUUCUCAGCUUCAUCCUCAGUAUCCUGUUCCUCAACCUCGAAAUCAUUCACAAGGUCUGCCUCAGACACAUGCUCAACAUCCUUCGCAGCCUGUUCCACAAGCCUUUACUUCUCAACCAAACCAGCCAUUGAAUCCUCAUCUCCAGCCUCAGCUACAACAUUCAUCAGCCCAUGCAGUGACAGGCCAUAACUCUUAUACCCAACCACAGUCUCAACAGCAAAUGCAGCUGGGAGGUCUGCAACAUCCUGCACAUUUGUAUCCUCAAGGUGGGCCUCAACCACAAUCACAUCUCGUUCAAAUGCAGAGUCAGUUCCCUCAACAACCUCCUUUGUUACGUCCACCACAAUCUCAUGGUCCAAUUCAAAACCCUCAACAGCCUGGUUUGUUACCUUCACCUGGUCAAGUCCCUAAUGUGCCUCCUGUACAGCAGCAACCAGUGCAUUCCCAUGCUCAACAACCUGGACUUCCUCAUCAACACCUUGUUAUGCAGUCAGUUCAGCAACAAGUCCAUCAGCAGUAUGUGCAGCAGCAGCCAUUUUCUGGACAAGCGCCAGUGCCAGUUCAGAAUCAGGUGCCUCAGCAAGGUGCUUACACGCAGCAACAAUUGCAUGUGCAUUCUCAAAUACGUCCCCAGGGGCUGCCCCCAUCAUUCCAGCAACCUUCUAAUGCCUAUCCACUGCCUCAGCAGCAUUUUGCAUUACUGCAUGGCACGCAAUCCCAUCAAGCCCAAACUCUUGGUGGAAGGCCUAUGGUGCCACCUCUUGGAGUGCCAACUCAGCCACAUCCUCACUCAUCUGCUCUCAUGCAGGUAAAGCCAAUGGAGGUUGGUGCAGGUCAAUCAGGAAUUGCACUAAGGACCAACAACCAAGAUCAAUCGCCUUCUGAGCUACAGUCUGGGCCUAUUUCAAGACCAAUGUCUGAGAAACAAGGGGAUCACACUAUUGAGAAAAGUUCAGAAGCUGAAUCUACUCAUAAAAAUGUUAAAAGGGAUCCUGAUGAUUUGGAUGUUGCUUCUGGUGUUGUGGCUGAUGUAGGCGCGGUAAAGACUGUAAAAUCUGAAUGCUAUUUGAAGCCAGUGGAUGCUGACAAUAAACCCAUGGGUAAUGUCAAGGAUAUAUCAGAAUCUCAUGGAGCUGAGAAUGGAGAGUAUUUGAUUAAGCAGGUAAAGAAAGAGCCUAGAGAGGCUAGUAAUGACCAGAAAGAUGGUUCUAAUACCGACCAUAAAAGGGUUGAACAUUCUGUUGUGUCAGAAGACAAGGAAAUGAAAAGUGGGCCUCUGUUGAAAACUCCUCCAUUGCAGGAAGGUGAACACCUUGAAGACCAUAGUAUGAAAUCACAGGACUUGAACAUGACUCCACAAUGUUCUGGAGGCUUUACUCUGCACGGGCAGGUGCAAGGUGAGGGCUUGGUACAACCCUCUCAUUUGGUUCCCAUUGCUGAGCAGGGAAAGCAGCAGCCUCCUUUAAUUCCUCAUGGGCCUUCUGUCCUUCAACAAAGGCCUGUUGGAUCCCCAUUGUUACAAGCACCUCCUCCUGGACCCCCACAUCACAUGCAAUUACCUGGGCAUCCAUCCGCCCCAUCUAGGUCUUUGGGUUCUGGGCAUAUGUCUCAUACUGGACAACCUUUGAAUCCACUCCAUGAACAUCUCCAGCAACCUCUGUACAAGCAGUCUCAUGGUCCUGAAGUCUCUCCUAUUGGCAUUGCUGGCUUGGGCUCUACUUCAAUCUUUGGGAGGGGUCCAAGUCAUUAUGGUCCACAGGGACCUUCUACUCAAGGUCAUGGACUCCCUUUGGAAGGUGAAAGAACAUCAUUAUAUGGCCAUGAAUCUGACAUGUUUCCAAAUCAGAGGCCCAAUUAUACAGAUGGCAGAAGACUAGAUCCAUUUGGGAAACAAUCUGGCAUGCACACAAAUGCGAUGAGAUUGAAUGGUGCCCCAGGGCCAGACUCCUUAGGAAGUGGAUCACGGGAUGAUCGGUUCAGGCCUUUGCUAGAUGAGCAUAUGAAUCCCUUUCCACAGGAUCCAGGCCGAAUUGUUGAUCAGGCAGAGUUUGAAGAAGAUGCCAAGCAUUUCCCCAGGCCUUCUCAUUUGGACACUGAAUCUGUUCAAAAAUAUGGAAGUCAAUUUCCCCCUUCAAGACCUCUUGAUAGGGUACCUCAUAAUUUUGGUAUGAAUUUACCCCUGAAAACUCUUGACCAGGGACCACAUGGUAUGAAUUAUGAUUCGGGGAUGAAAUUGGAACCCUUGGGUGGCUCUGCACCCCCAAAGUUCUUUCCUAAUCAUCAUGAUGGUUUAAUGCAUCCCAAUGAUAUAGGAGAAAGGCCAGUUCUUUUUCUUGACAAGACUGCAGGCAGGCAGCCAGAUACUGCUCAAACCCAACCAGAUCUUUUUGGACCAGUUCCUAGAUAUGGUCGUCGUCAUAUGGAUGGUUUGGCUACUAGAAGUCCAGGUAGAGAUUAUCCUGGUGUAUCCUCACAUGGAGUUGGAGCCUUUCCUGGACUUGAUGAUAUUGCUGGCAGGGAAUCACGACGAUUUGGUGAUUCAUUUCAUAAUAAUAGGUUUCCAGCUUUACCCAGCCAUUUACGCAGGGGCCAGUUUGAGGGUCCUGGUCAAGAUGGAUUUCCCAAUCAUUUGCGAAGGGGUGAGCAUAUGCUUAUGGGAGAGCCUUUUGGUUUUGGUGCUUUCCCUGGUCCUGCACGGAUGGGAGAAUUGCCUGGGCCCGGGAAUUUCUUUCAUUCACGACUUGGUGAGCCAGGAUUUAGGAGCGGCUUUUCCCACAAGGGAAUUCCUGGUGAUGGUGGAAACUAUCCAGGUGACUUGGAAUCUUUUGAUGGUUCAAGAAGGAGAAAGGCAUCUAGCAUGGGAUGGUGUCGUAUUUGUAAAGUUGACUGUGAAAGUGUUGAAGGCUUAGACAUACAUUCACAGACGAGGGACCAUCAAAAGAUGGCUAUGGAUAUGGUUGUGACAAUCAAGCAGAAUGCAAAAAAGCAAAAAUUAGCCUCCAGUGAUCAUUCCUCACUUGAUAAUGCAAGCAAGUCAAGGAAUGCCAGUUUUGAGGGCCGUGGGAAUAAGAAUUAAGUUGUGGUAGCAUGUUACAAUGUGAAUCACCUGGGUGCAUUGCUGGCUCAGGGUUGAUUUUUUUGCUUUGAUAUAUUUGAACUUGUUGGCAUAGGUGACUCAACCUUCCUUUGCUUUCUGGGUGGUUUUGCUAGUCUUGUCAUUUCAGGUUGCUGCCCUGUUAAAGGAGAUGUUUUGCAGAGCUGAAGUUCAGUGGCAAUUUUUUCAAUUCGACCUGUCUUUUUACGGCCGAAGCAAACAACAAAAAGACAGAAAGUUCGGCGGAAAGGUUUACUCAGUCAUCUUUUUUAGAUGUGGCAAGAUUAUGUUCAAUGUACAAAUGUAAGUCUAUUCUUUGCUCAUUGGCAUUGAUGUUCUUGAAUUUACUAUGUCAACAUUGGAAAUUUUUUGAAUAGGUUACUGUUUUUUAGGAUAAAGUAUUCUGUAGUUGAAACUAUAUUGGGAUGGUCUUUGCGAUGCGACUGUUGGAAAACUUGAGAGGCUUAGAGAACUCUUUGUGAUGGUUGGAAACUUGAGAGGCUUAGAGAAUUCUUUUUGAUUGUUGGAAACUUGAGAGGCUUAGGGAACUUGAGGCUUUGUUUAGUUGUGGAAAAAUAGAAGAUGAUGAAAUCAAAUUUCUAAAUUUUCUAAUUUUAAACUAACUGGUGGAUAACAAGUUUAGAUAGUUUUCCAUUAUUUCUUUACAAAAGUAGGAGGCUCUGCUAAGGUAGAAAACACGGUGUUUUCCACUUGUUAUAUAUUUUUGGUGUCUUGUUGCUAAUAUCGAAUUCCAAUAAUCACUACACACCUACCUAGAUGCUAUUUCAUAGUUUCUUUACAGAUUUUUUUAAAAUAUAAAUUUUAUAUCAAUUUUGAAAUGUUAAAAUAAAUUGUUUGUUUAAAAAAAUUACAAUAAAUUAUUGCUAUAAUAAUUAUCAUGGUAGUUAUAUUAUUUUCUUCUAUUUUUUUCUUUCAAAUCGAUGUAUAAUAUUAAAUUACCUACUAUCUUCCAAAUCUGUAGCUUUACCAACUGAAUGUGUAUUUCUAAACUUAUCACUUGCUGAUAGGUUCAAUGAACGUUAUUUUAUUUUUUAAUUUUCUUAAAUUUGUUUUAUAAUAAUAUAUAUUAAUGCUUCAAAAAAUAAAUGUUAAAAAUAUUUAAAUUUCAGAUAUUAGACUCAUUAACUUUUUUUUACUAAACAUUCUUCAUAAUUUCAUUUAUUUUUCAAAUGAAAAAUUUACUUAAUUUAUAGAUUUAAUUCAAUUUUGAAAUAUUAGACUAAAAUAGUGUAAUAAUUCUCAUGAUAACUCUUAGAUUUAAAAUAUAUUUUAAAUUAAAAAAAAUAUAUUCAAUUAAUUAACUUGUGAAACUAUUUUUAUAGUUAUCAUAUUCAACAAUGACUUUUAUUAAUCCAAUAAAACCAAUUUAGUUAAAAAAUGUGAAAAAUAGUCUUAUAAAGGAAAGAUGGAAAAUGGAGAAGCGAAAAAGUGAACAUGUUUUCUUAUUUUCCAGUUUUCCAAUUGGAAAAAUAGGAAAAGGAGCAGAAAACUGGAAAAAGAAAACUAGAAAAACAUUUUUUGAAACUAAACAGGGGCUAAAACUCUCCUUUAGAAAAGUACCCCUUUCUUUUGCUAUGACUUGAAUUUGGGGUGCCAAUUUGUAUAUUACUUAUCAUUUGCUUGACAGACUUCAGCUCCUUUUUUCCUUAUCUCUUCUUAAUAAGCAAUCAGACUUCUUAGGAUGAUUUUUAUCAUUCAGAUUAACUUUUGCAUUGUUUUACCUUUUUUAUGACUUGAGAAAUUCAAAUAAUUUGCCAAACUGGAAGUGAGUGUACUAGUCUAAGGGAAUUCCUGAAGGAAAGGGCUAACCUUAACAUAUUUAUGGAAAUUUAAUAGUGCUACAAAAUUGUGGAGUUAAGCAUGAACAAUUAACUUGCAUAUAUGCCUUCAAAUUUUUUAGGUUUUAUAUGGCUGCAAUUUUUUAUUUUUUUUAUUUUUUCAGUUGGGUACUUAUAAAUUGAAAAACUUAGUUCUCUAGAUAAAGCUUUAACUAUUAAGCACUAGAGUGUGUUUUAAGUAUUGUGUAUAGGGAGGAUGGGAAUUAUGGCAUUGUGGAGCCUAGUUUUUGGGAUUUAUUAGAUACCCCUACAGAUUUGGUCAGGCUGGUGUCAAACAAAGAUUGUCUUGGUCAGCAAAAAAAGAUAUUUAGUCCAACUAGGCUGUCUCCUCUAUAUUAUAUGAUGAAAUAUGCAUCAUCAUGCAAUGUAUUUUUUUUUUCAGUAAAAAUGGUUGGUUAUUAGAUAGAGAAAAUGUUUUCAAUGAUAAAUUAUUGGGGCCUUAAAAAUGAUCAUGAAUGUUCUGAAGCUACUUGUGUGUUCUACUCCAGUGCUUAGAUGACUUCCUUACAAUUUUAGGUUCAUACAGUAUCUCUGAGAAUCAACAUCAUCUUUGGUCCUUUACCAGCUCUGUGAUAAUUUACUACUACUUUGUCGUUGUCGGGAUGUGUGAUAAUCAUGAUUUUGCAAUAUAUAAACCUGAAUAAAGGACACUAUGUAGCCCUUUUAGAUGGGUACCUUUUUGUCAGACACAUAUGAAUUUUGUGAAACAUUUGAUAGAAAAAGGACAUCAAAAUGUUGUAUUACCAAACUAUCUGGUAUGUGAAUUUGAAUUGGCUGUCAAAAUCAGUAAUUACAAUAAUAUUUGUGUUAUUGAAUGGAAUUGUAUUAUCAAUUAUAAAUGAAUUUGGUUUGGUCAUAUUAAUUUCUAAUCUUAAUGUUGUUGUAUUAUUGGGUAGAAUAUAGGCCCCGUUAACUAAAGUUGACAUAACAAUUGUAAUUUUUAAUUUGUAUCAUACUUGUGUAUACACACAUAUAGAAAUGAUUACUUCAAUUGUCAAGAGAAUAAUUGUACAUUUUUCUUAAAGAACUAAUACAAAAUAAAAGUUUAUAUGACAUAGAAAUAUAAGUUGCAAGGGUGAAAAAGUUUGAAAAUCUAUUUGAAAUAUAAUUUACAUUGUCAUCAAGGUAUAACAAAAAAAAAAAAAAAACUAUAUGCAUAUAUAGAAAAUUUAAGAUUGUCCAUAAAAAAUUGACUUGUUGCUUACAGCCAAAUUCAAAUCUUCAAUAAGUUUUGCUGUGAUUAUUUAUCAUUUAAUGAAAAAAAAAAAAAAAGACUGGAAUUGGUUUUAAGCAUAUAUUAAAGAGAAAAUAAUGUGAAAUUCAUUACUAAUAAGAGAUCCUUUUUGUGAGUGCAAAAUAAUAAUUUGUUGUGGUAUUUUUUUUAUAAACAGUACAUUAUUAUUUUUUUAAAAAAAAUAAAAUUUUAGGUUUGAAAUUAUUGCUAAGUGAGUAUUUUGUAUAACAUACAUUUGCAGAUAAAAAGUUUAGUAAUCAAUUUUUUUAUGACAAACAUGGGUAGUCACCUAUUAUUAACAUACAUCAUGUUUUUUUUGGCUAUUAUUCUAUUCUUUUAUUGUUACAAGGUAAAAAAAAUUUUCCAGCAGAUAAAAGUUUCUGACUGAUAAUAAAAAUAACAUGUGAUAUUUGUAUUCCCUCCACCCCAUUCCAACUGAUGUUUUAAAAUUUUUGUGUAUCCAACUUUAUUUGCCGUUUUAGAAAAUUAAUGAUGCAUUAAUUAUUUUUUUAAACUUUAUCAUUGUCUGUUGUUAUCCUCAAUGCAUUUAUCUCUUCCUUGUCGCUUUUUUUUUUUCAUUUUAAUUAAAUAUUAGCAUAUUUUGGUAAAUUAUUAAUAUUUUUUUUUUAUAAAAUGAGAAUAUCUAAUCAUUUUCUUAAUCCUUUUGCAAAAACCUUAAAAAGCAUUGAAAUUGGAAGCAGGGAGUACUGGUUUGCCACGAGUUUCAAGUUUUAAAGCUUGUUUGGUUCCAUUCCAUUCCACAAUUUUGUGGAAUUUAAUUGAAUUCCAUGUUUUGUGUGUUUGGUCUGAAAAAAAAAAAAAUCCAAGAAUUCAACAUUAGGAAUUGGUUAUAAUUAAAAUUAAUUCUUAUCGAAUUUGAUGGAAUUUGAAAUGAAUUCCACAAAACUUACAUAACAUUUUUUUGACUAAAAUUCCCUUAUCAAAAAAAUUAUCCUGUCAUUUAUCUUUUUAUAUUCUCACAUGCCAAAAUUAUUCGCUUUUGAACUUUAAUUACUAAUGUGAUCAAUAGAAUUUACAACAUCCAAUAAGUACCAAUAAUUGAUUAAAAAAUUAAAAGUGCUCUGACCAUUACUAAAUAAGAAAAUGGAAACUACAAACAAACUCUCUAUCUAUUUUCUAUUAAUAUGUUUGGACAACUAUAUAAGGUAUUUUAAUUUUGUCUCAACUUUUUAAUAUCUAAGCUUACUAUACACUUAGUAAUGACACUAUUUAUGUUAUAUAAUCUCUUAUAUGAUGAGGCAUGUUAAUUUAUUUUAUAUUUAGUACCAUAUUAUUUGUUGGUUUAUAUAUUUGUUAAUUGUUAUAAAUUUAUUUGUACUUUUUUUUUUGAAUUCUGUAGAAAAUUAAUUUUAUAAUUUACUGUUGAGGGUAAUUUUGGAAAUGAGGACAAAUGAAUUUCAAUUCUAGAAUUAUGUCAAACAUGAAUUAUAUGGAAUUUAAUUGAAUUUUGUAUUUUAAGUUGUCGUGCAAAACAGUGUAAUGCAUUUGAAAUGAAUUCUAGCUAGAUUUAAUUUCAAAUGAAUUCCAAAGUUUGUUUAGAAUCGAACCAAACACUUGAUUAGUGAAUUUUUUUUUUAAUCCUGUAUUUGUUAUUUAUUUUUUGGGAUUGUUAAUUUUAUUAUUGACACUUGCUUUUUCUAUCAUAUGUGAUAGUAUUAGGUAAGCAUGCAUCAUUUUAUUGGAUCUGAUAAAACAUUGUUGAAGGAAAGAUAACUAUAAUGACUAAUAAGGAGAAUAAGGGGCUGUGAUUGUAUGUGAAAGUAAUAGAAUAAUUAGGGUGGUCUGUGGUAGUUAGUUGAAGAACUGAAAGUUGUUAAAAGGUUGUAAUUGGCGGAAAUAGUUAUGGGAAGGGCUGAUCGCUUAUAAAUAGUAGCUAUUGUAACUGAAGAAGAUUAUUUUGGAAAAAUAUCAAGAAACUAUUCAAUUUCUCUCUCAUUCUCUCUAUUCUCUUAUCCCUAAAACUCUAUUUCUAUUAUUUCUUCUGCUUGAGAUCCUGUUAUUGGGGAUUUUGCUACAUAACAAUAACAUUUGAAAAUAAUUUAAAAUUGAUAUACCUAUAAUAUAAUGUUAAUGAUGGCAAUACCUGUGGAUAUGUAAUUAUCAAUAUUGAACCAGUAUUUAAAACAAAAGAAGAAAUGAAAAAGUGGAAAAUUUAAAUAGAAAGCAUCAUUUUUUAUGGGCAAGGUUAUAUGCUAGUGAGAGUGAAUAUUGAUUGCUUUUGAUAUGGACUUUUAGUUGAAUUUUGCCAUAUGAUUGUCUUAAGAUUUCUCAUGCUUCAUGAACUGCUUUGUCAUCUCUUCGUAUUGCAAAAACUUGAAGCUAUGGGCAGCCUUUUUUGAAUGAUGGAUGCAAAUUCUGGAGUUGAUGCCCUGCUUGUUCAUUCUAUCUUGUCCAGUCAGCAGGUUCUGUAUUGAGCAUGAUUUAGCGAUAAAGGACUGUAGCCAAAUCAUGCAUUUUCUAUAUAUGACAAAUAAAGGGCUGAAAUAAUGUGUGGUUGAUGGCCUGGGAAUAGAAUGUGCCUUCCAUCAAAUAAUGGUUUGCCACAAUUCUUUAGGGACAAGAGAAGUUUAGGAUGCGAGGCACAAGAAGCAAGAAGGGAAGUACGUGCAUACAUACAAUCAUUACUUUUAUUAGGCGUGUUGGGUCACCUAAUCGUAACACUUAACAUGUUUAGUAUAAUUUAUGAUAAAUCACCAAAACCCACAUGAAAUUUUGCAUAAUGUACACUUUUAUCUCUUAUUUUUUUAAAAUUUAAUUACUUCAGUUCUUAAGGUUUGUUAAUGGCUUUAAAACUUAGUCCUUGAUUACAAUCCUAAAAUAAGCAUUACGCUUUAGUCUUCCGUAUUUUAAUUUGAGAUUAUGCCCUGCACCAUCGUCUUGUUCUGUCUAGUUUAGUUUAAUUUUUGUAGUGUAUUUUUUAUUUACUCGUCUCCUGUUCAAAUCCCAUUGAUUAAUGUUUAAGACUAUUGAGCAAGCUAAGAGGUUAUGAGAAAUUUUCAGAACAUUAAUUUUCCUUUUUUUAAUAAAAGAAAAAAAAAUUAUAACCGAAAAAAUACCAAUAAAUGUAGUCACUAGAAUAUUCUCUAAAACAGUUGCAUUUAAUCCAUAGUACAUGUCAAAAUUGUAAACAACCCUUGUGGCCUAAUAUAGAUAUAAAUUCCUAUUGGUAGUGUCUUACUAGAAAAUUUCUCCAUUGUCUUCAUAUGUUCCUAAUAGUAAAUAUACUAGUAUAAUAUAUUUCACCUUUUCUAUUUUUUAUCGCAGGUUAAAAGAUUUUAUACCUUUUAAUUAAUAUUUGUUAGGAAAAAAAAAAUCUUAUGAUACAAUUUUUAGAUAAUUUGGAAAAAAUUUAAUCAAAUUAUAAAUUGAAUGUAAAAAUAUUCUUGUUUCAUAAAUAAAUACUUUAAUCACAUAAAUUUAUAAUACAAAUUUUUUAAUUGAUAUAAACUAAUAAUAAUAGUAUUGUCAUUAAAAAUUACGAAUUAUAGUAUUGCAAAAUUUAUUUUUCAAAUCAAAUAUUAUAUAUAAAGUAUUACACAAUCAAUGUUAUAAACUCUACAAUAUUAUAAAAUUUUUGUUUUUUUUUUUCCCUCCGGCUUGGUUGAACCUUUCGAUUCCAACCGUUGAUUUUUUUUUGUUUUUUCGUAAUAUCUAAUUUUGAGAUUUAUCACAUUUUAUUUGUUUUUAAUUAUUAAAUGAUUAUAUUUGCCUCAAUUAUUAUAAAUUAUCUCCCAGAAAAAAAGAUUGUAUAUACAAAGCAAAAGGAUCACACUAUAAUUGAGGCAUAUUUUUUUUUUUUUUUUAUCUAGAAAUUAUUCCUGAACAUUCAUUUUAGCCUAUUAAUUUAUCGUCAUAGAAUUAUAAUUUUUGUGUGGAUAUAUUAUAUUUUGUGUGGUUAGGAAAUGAAUAUAAUUAAAUAAAUUUUGCAAUAUAUUGUAAAUAAUAAUUUUAUUUAAUAUAUAUAUAUAUAUAUAUAUUCAUUUAUUAAUAAUUUUAUAAAAUUUUUGAUGACAAAAAAGUUAUAUUCAACAUUGGGCGGGUAUUGUAACUUGUAAUAAUUCAAAGUCUACGAGUAUUUCUAAAUAUAUUAAUUUAAAAACUAAACACGCGCACGAACAUUUUCGCCGAUGCACAAGUUUGAAGGUAGCUUACGCAAGGAGCAAACAUGAAGACUGGUGGUUUUUACCUGUUUUAUUUUCUAAUCUUUUUAAUUUUGUCAACCUGAUUUUUGUAAUUUUAUCCAAUUGGUUAAAAUUAAAUGGCCAUAAUUGAUUUUUACUUUUCUUUUUUUUUUUUCUGAUUUAAAUUCAAAAAAUUUUAAGAAUAUGUAUUUUAUUUUAUUCCAUCCUAAAACACCAUCUCUUCCCCCACCCAUACAUCUGAAACUCUCCAUUCUCUCAUCAAACAAAAAGUAAUAUCACUCUUUCUAGCUCUUUCUCAUAAAUUCAUCAUCUCUAACAACAAUUAACAUUAAUUUUUUGUUUGUUUUCCAUUUUAAUUGAAAGAUGCCCAUCCCUUAGAAAUCCCAUUAGAUGUAGGGCCCCAAUAGAAAGAAAGAAUUGUGCUAUAAACAGGUAACAGCAAAACACAAAACUUUGACAGCCAUCACCUGCUUCUCAAGCUUUGGCAAAGAGGAUUGUGUCUUGGAGAUCCAACUACAAGAAGACAAGUCGUCUGAUAUAAUAUUUGAUUUUUUUUUUUUUGCCUCUAUUUUUUUUUUUUUGUAAUUUGACAUAGAUGGCAUCUUCUCUACUAUGGGGAGCAUUUUUUUUAAGGUACAAUUGUGUUGAAGCAGCUAUUUUAUUGCUUGUGAUUUGUAUAUGCUUCAUUUUAAGAGCAAACAGUGCUUCAAGUGUUUAUGUAAAGGAACAGAACCUUGGAACUUGGA